RNAcentral lists this ribosomal RNA (204 nucleotides) under uncultured bacterium. RNAcentral's name for it is "partial 16S ribosomal RNA". It matches the Rfam family "Bacterial small subunit ribosomal RNA", at positions 1298 to 1500 of the family's 1533-position model. The record is from RNAcentral.
UCGCAGGCUGCAACCCGCCUGCGUGAAGUCGGAAUCGCUAGUAAUCGCGGAUCAGCAUGCCGCGGUGAAUACGUUCCCGGGCCUUGUACACACCGCCCGUCACACCAUGAGAGUCGGGAACACCCGAAGUCCGUAGCCUAACCAAUCUGGAGGGCGCGGCCGAAGGUGGGUUCGAUAAUUGGGGUGAAGUCGUAACAAGGUACC